This 662-nucleotide ribosomal RNA is filed under the name Anopheles sundaicus. RNAcentral's name for it is "eukaryotic LSU rRNA". The stretch from base 1 to 143 matches the Rfam family "5.8S ribosomal RNA". The record is from RNAcentral. Lineage: Eukaryota; Metazoa; Arthropoda; Insecta; Diptera; Culicidae.
AUCACUCGGCUCGUGGAUCGAUGAAGACCGCAGCUAAAUGCGCGUCAGAAUGUGAACUGCAGGACACAUGAACACCGAUAAGUUGAACGCAUAUGGCGCAUCGGACGUUUCAACCCGACCGAUGCACACAUCCUUGAGUGCCUACUAGGUACUUCGAUUUUCCUAUAAUUAGACUACAGACGGGCGCCACUAACGGGCUGACGGGCUAUCCGUCGUCUGGCGUGCGACUGUGCAGCAUGGCGUGCUCGGGUCUCGGCGUGGACCCUUGGGCGCUGAAAGUGGAUACUCUGUUUGAGCGGCACCUUUGCGUGUGCUCUCCUAAGUGUCGACGUAUGGUGAGGGUAGUGUCAAGCCGCACGGUGCGACAACACAAGCGUACUGUCGAGUUUGGUGCAAUCGGAUGCCUACUACCAUGGGCGGUGCCGGCGUGCAUUCAACACUCGACGUGCGUGUCCUGUAUCAACCGGAUGCCAACUGCCGUGUCAGUUGGUGGUGUCGGCGCAGACAGGACGCGCGCGUACGCUUGAGUCGUGUAACUCGUGCGACCCAUACACGUACCUGCUUGAGCUGUGCGUUGCGAGCUGGAGAGUUGCCAGACGGAGAAAUACCACAUACUCCAGUAGGCCUCAAGUGAUGUGUGACUACCCCCUAAAUUUAAGCAU